Molecule: long non-coding RNA, 297 nt
Filed under: Marmota monax (woodchuck)
Lineage: Eukaryota; Metazoa; Chordata; Mammalia; Rodentia; Sciuridae
Source: RNAcentral
AAGCCAGCAGAGAGCUGAGUGAUGAGGAAACCACUUUUGACCUAGGAGCAACUUCUUGGUCUGAACACUAAAGACUAUAAUUUACCAUGUUCUGUGCUCGAAGAUAAGGACGGACCUAAAAGCACUGAGGCUUUUGACCUUUUUGAGAGAUAGGGAAAAGACUGCAUUCAGGAAUUCUUUGCUGUGUAUCUUAGUCCUAUGAAAUUCCUGCUGAAAUAAGAGACAAUUCCUUGUAAAUAUAAUACUGGUAGGGGGUGAGGAGUUUGUAAAUGGCAGAUUGGAUGGAAUGGUUGGGUC